RNAcentral lists this ribosomal RNA (432 nucleotides) under uncultured bacterium. RNAcentral's name for it is "bacterial SSU rRNA". It matches the Rfam family "Bacterial small subunit ribosomal RNA", at positions 29 to 507 of the family's 1533-position model. The record is from RNAcentral.
AACGAACGCUGGCGGCAGGCCUAACACAUGCAAGUCGAACGCCCCGCAAGGGGAGUGGCAGACGGGUGAGUAACGCGUGGGAACCUACCCAGAGGUGCGGAAUAGCCCAGGGAAACUUGGAGUAAUACCGCAUAAGCCCGAGAGGGGAAAGAUUUAUCGCCUUUGGAUGGGCCCGCGUCUGAUUAGCUAGUUGGUGAGGUAAUGGCUCACCAAGGCGACGAUCAGUAGCUGGUCUUAGAGGAUGAUCAGCCACACUGGGACUGAGNACACGGCCCAGACUCCUACGGGAGGCAGCAGUGGGGAAUAUUGGACAAUGGGCGCAAGCCUGAUCCAGCCAUGCCGCGUGAGUGACGAAGGCCUUAGGGUUGUAAAGCUCUUUUGGCGGGGACGAUAAUGACGGUACCCGCAGAAUAAGCCCCGGCUAACUUCGUG